Molecule: long non-coding RNA, 101 nt
Organism: Cotesia glomerata
Lineage: Eukaryota; Metazoa; Arthropoda; Insecta; Hymenoptera; Braconidae
Exons: 3
Source: RefSeq, a predicted model, not a curated record
UCUCGUCAGAUAAAGACAAUUUAAAGAUCUGGCCAGAUCUGUUUAUAUAUGGCCAGAUCUAAUUCGUUUUUCUUGGGUGGCUAGUCAGAUAUGAAAAUAAC